Molecule: long non-coding RNA, 311 nt
Organism: Zalophus californianus (California sea lion)
Lineage: Eukaryota; Metazoa; Chordata; Mammalia; Carnivora; Otariidae
Exons: 3
Source: RefSeq, a predicted model, not a curated record
AGAGGAGAUCCUCACUCACAGAGGGCUCCUGAAGGCCUCUGACUUCAUUAAAUUGCAAAGGGCAUAUCUGAUUCAAUUCUUAAGCAGCCCCCGGCCUGGUACAGAGAGGACGGCUUCUUUAUUGCUACAAGGUUUGCCAGACACCAGGGGCACGGCAUUCGGCAACCGUGGAGGGGGACCGGCAUCCACAUUUCUUCCUGAUGGCAGAUCCGUGUGAGUAGAGUGUUUGGAAGAUCUCCUGGAUGUUGGAGCAGUCCUGAAGAGAGUGGGCCAGGUGUUCCGCCACACUGCUGGAUACCUGUACAGGUGAG